RNAcentral lists this small RNA (104 nucleotides) under Aquipseudomonas alcaligenes. Its description in RNAcentral is "Pseudomonas alcaligenes Guanidine-I sequence". It matches the Rfam family "Guanidine-I riboswitch aptamer". Rfam says of the family: This family represents a conserved RNA structure found upstream of the ykkC and yxkD genes in Bacillus subtilis and related genes in other bacteria. The function of this family is unclear although it has been suggested that it may function to switch on efflux pumps and detoxification systems in response to harmful environmental molecules. The record is from RNAcentral. Lineage: Bacteria; Pseudomonadati; Pseudomonadota; Gammaproteobacteria; Pseudomonadales; Pseudomonadaceae.
GCAAUGGCCGACUAGGGUUCCGGCUCGCCCACCAGGGCGAGCGACUGGUCCGAGAGUGGGCAACCUCGACAGAGGUCACACGGAGGGACAAAAGCCCGGGAGAA